AAAAAGCUUCACCGUAUCGCCUCCACUGGCAGCCAGCAGCCCCAUUGAUGGAUCCGCCAAGUUCAUCGUUUAGAAUCUCCCGUGACCAAAUUUCUUUCCCGAGAAAAUCGAGCAACCUAAACUCGAAUUUUCCCGGAAAAUCAAAUUUUUAGUAAUUGCAAAUCACAAUGCUAAAUAGAAUUUUGAGAAAUGUAGAUUGCUGGUGUUGAUGUUGGGGUUUGAUUAAUACAAAAAUGAAUAAACACUCCCUAAGACUGAGAGAAAGGGAUAACAAGAUGGAUGUUGAAAUUUGAAAAGGUACUAGAGAA
Molecule: unclassified non-coding RNA, 308 nt
Filed under: Hevea brasiliensis (rubber tree)
Lineage: Eukaryota; Viridiplantae; Streptophyta; Magnoliopsida; Malpighiales; Euphorbiaceae
Source: RNAcentral